AAAAAAUGUAACCAUUACUAUUCUGAUAUUGACCUAGAGUAUUUAGUACAGUUAGAUAGUGAGUGGAAACAGACAUAGUACUUCUGGAAAGGGGGAAGGAAAAUUAAGGUCUGAAGACAGAACUUCCUGUUAUGUCAUGAAUUAUUUAUCUAUUCCCUCCCUUAUUUUAUCUCUGGCUGCUAAAAUACCAAGAUCCAACACAGAAGAAGACCAAUAAAUACUUGUUGAGCGACAGAAGGCAUGAUGAAAGAAGGGAUAGACACGGAAUCUCACAAGAAGCCAACUCUCCACAGAGACAUCCUGGGUUUGUUCCAGGUCUUUAUGGAGUAGUUAGCUCCACUGGGCUGGCUGGUCCAUAAAGCCCUGCAUUUCCUGUUCUUCUGAGUGGGGUUGGUCUUUCUCAGCCAAGAUUUCCUACAACAAAAGAAUACAAAAGAAG
RNAcentral lists this long non-coding RNA (439 nucleotides) under Fukomys damarensis (Damara mole-rat). RNAcentral describes it as "lncRNA (ENSFDAG00000033527.1)". The record is from RNAcentral. Lineage: Eukaryota; Metazoa; Chordata; Mammalia; Rodentia; Bathyergidae.